This 253-nucleotide ribosomal RNA is filed under the name uncultured bacterium. RNAcentral's name for it is "partial 16S ribosomal RNA". It matches the Rfam family "Bacterial small subunit ribosomal RNA", at positions 524 to 776 of the family's 1533-position model. The record is from RNAcentral.
AACGUAGGAGACAAACGUUAUCCGGAGUUACUGGGCGUAAAGGGCGUGUAGGUGGUUUCGUAAGUCUGGCGUGAAAUAUCUCGGCUUAACCGAGGCAGGUCGUCGGAUACUGCGGGACUAGAGGACGGUAGAGGCGUGUGGAAUUCCGGGUGUAGUGGUGAAAUGCGUAGAGAUCCGGAGGAACACCAGUGGCGAAAGCGACUUCCUGGACCAGAACUGACGAUCAGGCACGAAAGCGUGGGGAGCAAACAGG